AUUGAACGCUGGCGGCAUGCCUUACACAUGCAAGUCGAACGGCAGCGGGGGAGAAGCUUGCUUUUCCUGCCGGCGAGUGGCGAACGGGUGAGUAAUACAUCGGAACGUGCCCUGUAGUGGGGGAUAACUAGUCGAAAGAUUAGCUAAUACCGCAUACGACCUGAGGGUGAAAGUGGGGGACCGCAAGGCCUCAUGCUAUAGGAGCGGCCGAUGUCCGAUUAGCUGAGUUGGUGGGGUAAAGGCCUACCAAGGCGACGAUCAGUAGCUGGUCUGAGCGGACGAUCAGCCACACUGGGACUGAGACACGGCCGAGACUCCUACGGGAGGCAGCGGUGGGGAAUUUUGGACAAUGGGCGAAAGCCUGAUCCAGCAAUGCCGCGUGUGUGAAGAAGGCCUUCGGGUUGUAAAGCACUUUUGUCCGGAAAGACAUGGCUCUGGUUAAUACCUGGGGUCGAUGACGGUACCGGAAGAAUAAGGACCGGCUAACUACGUGCCAGCAGCCGCCGUAA
This 509-nucleotide ribosomal RNA is filed under the name uncultured bacterium. RNAcentral describes it as "partial 16S ribosomal RNA". It matches the Rfam family "Bacterial small subunit ribosomal RNA", at positions 30 to 523 of the family's 1533-position model. The record is from RNAcentral.